This is a small nucleolar RNA of Mastomys coucha (southern multimammate mouse), 131 nucleotides long. RefSeq annotates it as small nucleolar RNA SNORA17. Lineage: Eukaryota; Metazoa; Chordata; Mammalia; Rodentia; Muridae. The record is from RefSeq and is a predicted model, not a curated record. The transcript has a single exon.
ACCAUCCCUAGAAGCUUUGCAGGUAUGGCUGCUAUGUCACAUGCAUAUCUGUAGGUGGCAGAGAGGAGAGAAGCUAUGUCCACACUCAAUAUUCUGACCUGUGAACAGCAAAUGAUUAGUAGCCUAGCAAA